CCUACGGGUGACAGCAGUGAGGAAUAUUGGUCAAUGGGCGCGAGCCUGAACCAGCCAAGUCGCGUGAAGGAUGACGGUCCUAUGGGUUGUAAACUUCUUUUAUAAGGGAAUAAAGUGCGGCACGUGUGCCUUUUUGUAUGUACCUUAUGAAUAAGGAUCGGCUAACUCCGUGCCAGCAGCCGCGGUAAUACGGAGGAUCCGAGCGUUAUCCGGAUUUAUUGGGUUUAAAGGGAGCGUAGAUGGGUUUUUAAGUCAGCUGUGAAAGUUUGUGGCUCAACCAUAAAAUUGCAGUUGAAACUGGCAGGCUGGAGUGCAGUAGAGGUAGGCGGAAUUCGUAGUGUAGCGGUGAAAUGCUUAGAUAUCACGAAGAACACCAGUGGCGAAGGCAGCCUACUGGACGGCAACUGACACUGAUGCUCGAAAGUGUGGGGAUCAAACAGGAUUAGAUACCCGGGUAGUC
Molecule: ribosomal RNA, 460 nt
Filed under: uncultured bacterium
Lineage: Bacteria
Description: partial 16S ribosomal RNA
Rfam family: Bacterial small subunit ribosomal RNA
Source: RNAcentral